This 2900-nucleotide ribosomal RNA is filed under the name Klebsiella aerogenes. RNAcentral's name for it is "23S ribosomal RNA". It matches the Rfam family "Bacterial large subunit ribosomal RNA". RNAcentral also lists the same sequence under 1 other name. Lineage: Bacteria; Pseudomonadati; Pseudomonadota; Gammaproteobacteria; Enterobacterales; Enterobacteriaceae. The record is from RNAcentral.
UUAAGCGACUAAGCGUACACGGUGGAUGCCCUGGCAGUCAGAGGCGAUGAAGGACGUGCUAAUCUGCGAAAAGCGUCGGUAAGGUGAUAUGAACCGUUACAGCCGGCGAUGUCCGAAUGGGGAAACCCAGUGCAAUUCGUUGCACUAUCGUUAACUGAAUACAUAGGUUAACGAGGCGAACCGGGGGAACUGAAACAUCUAAGUACCCCGAGGAAAAGAAAUCAACCGAGAUUCCCCCAGUAGCGGCGAGCGAACGGGGAGCAGCCCAGAGUCUGAAUCAGCUUGUGUGUUAGUGGAACGGUCUGGAAAGUCCGACGGUACAGGGUGAUAGUCCCGUACACCAAAAUGCACAGGUUGUGAACUCGAAGAGUAGGGCGGGACACGUGGUAUCCUGUCUGAAUAUGGGGGGACCAUCCUCCAAGGCUAAAUACUCCUGACUGACCGAUAGUGAACCAGUACCGUGAGGGAAAGGCGAAAAGAACCCCGGCGAGGGGAGUGAAAAAGAACCUGAAACCGUGUACGUACAAGCAGUGGGAGCACCUUCGGGUGUGACUGCGUACCUUUUGUAUAAUGGGUCAGCGACUUAUAUUCUGUAGCAAGGUUAACCGUAUAGGGGAGCCGCAGGGAAACCGAGUCUUAACUGGGCGUUAAGUUGCAGGGUAUAGACCCGAAACCCGGUGAUCUAGCCAUGGGCAGGUUGAAGGUUGGGUAACACUAACUGGAGGACCGAACCGACUAAUGUUGAAAAAUUAGCGGAUGACUUGUGGCUGGGGGUGAAAGGCCAAUCAAACCGGGAGAUAGCUGGUUCUCCCCGAAAGCUAUUUAGGUAGCGCCUCGUGAACUCAUCUUCGGGGGUAGAGCACUGUUUCGGCUAGGGGGUCAUCCCGACUUACCAACCCGAUGCAAACUACGAAUACCGAAGAAUGUUAUCACGGGAGACACACGGCGGGUGCUAACGUCCGUCGUGAAGAGGGAAACAACCCAGACCGCCAGCUAAGGUCCCAAAGUCAUGGUUAAGUGGGAAACGAUGUGGGAAGGCACAGACAGCCAGGAUGUUGGCUUAGAAGCAGCCAUCAUUUAAAGAAAGCGUAAUAGCUCACUGGUCGAGUCGGCCUGCGCGGAAGAUGUAACGGGGCUAAACCAUGCACCGAAGCUGCGGCAGCGACACUAUGUGUUGUUGGGUAGGGGAGCGUUCUGUAAGCCUGCGAAGGUGACCUGUGAGGGUUGCUGGAGGUAUCAGAAGUGCGAAUGCUGACAUAAGUAACGAUAAAGCGGGUGAAAAGCCCGCUCGCCGGAAGACCAAGGGUUCCUGUCCAACGUUAAUCGGGGCAGGGUGAGUCGACCCCUAAGGCGAGGCCGAAAGGCGUAGUCGAUGGGAAACAGGUUAAUAUUCCUGUACUUGGUGUUACUGCGAAGGGGGGACGGAGAAGGCUAUGUUAGCCGGGCGACGGUUGUCCCGGUUUAAGCAUGUAGGCUGGUUAUCCAGGCAAAUCCGGAUAAUCAAGGCUGAGGUGUGAUGACGAGGCACUACGGUGCUGAAGUAACAAAUGCCCUGCUUCCAGGAAAAGCCUCUAAGCAUCAGGUAACAUCAAAUCGUACCCCAAACCGACACAGGUGGUCAGGUAGAGAAUACCAAGGCGCUUGAGAGAACUCGGGUGAAGGAACUAGGCAAAAUGGUGCCGUAACUUCGGGAGAAGGCACGCUGGUGUGUAGGUGAAGCCCCUGCGGGUGGAGCUGAGACCAGUCGAAGAUACCAGCUGGCUGCAACUGUUUAUUAAAAACACAGCACUGUGCAAACACGAAAGUGGACGUAUACGGUGUGACGCCUGCCCGGUGCCGGAAGGUUAAUUGAUGGGGUUAUCCGUAAGGAGAAGCUCUUGAUCGAAGCCCCGGUAAACGGCGGCCGUAACUAUAACGGUCCUAAGGUAGCGAAAUUCCUUGUCGGGUAAGUUCCGACCUGCACGAAUGGCGUAAUGAUGGCCAGGCUGUCUCCACCCGAGACUCAGUGAAAUUGAACUCGCUGUGAAGAUGCAGUGUACCCGCGGCAAGACGGAAAGACCCCGUGAACCUUUACUAUAGCUUGACACUGAACAUUGAGCCUUGAUGUGUAGGAUAGGUGGGAGGCUUUGAAGCGUGGACGCCAGUCUGCGUGGAGCCAACCUUGAAAUACCACCCUUUAAUGUUUGAUGUUCUAACGUUGGCCCCUUACCGGGGUUGCGGACAGUGUCUGGUGGGUAGUUUGACUGGGGCGGUCUCCUCCCAAAGCGUAACGGAGGAGCACGAAGGUUAGCUAAUCCUGGUCGGACAUCAGGAGGUUAGUGCAAUGGCAUAAGCUAGCUUGACUGCGAGCGUGACGGCGCGAGCAGGUGCGAAAGCAGGUCAUAGUGAUCCGGUGGUUCUGAAUGGAAGGGCCAUCGCUCAACGGAUAAAAGGUACUCCGGGGAUAACAGGCUGAUACCGCCCAAGAGUUCAUAUCGACGGCGGUGUUUGGCACCUCGAUGUCGGCUCAUCACAUCCUGGGGCUGAAGUAGGUCCCAAGGGUAUGGCUGUUCGCCAUUUAAAGUGGUACGCGAGCUGGGUUUAGAACGUCGUGAGACAGUUCGGUCCCUAUCUGCCGUGGGCGCUGGAGAAUUGAGGGGGGCUGCUCCUAGUACGAGAGGACCGGAGUGGACGCAUCACUGGUGUUCGGGUUGUCAUGCCAAUGGCACUGCCCGGUAGCUAAAUGCGGAAGAGAUAAGUGCUGAAAGCAUCUAAGCACGAAACUUGCCCCGAGAUGAGUUCUCCCUGAGACUUUAAGUCUCCUGAAGGAACGUUAAAGACGAUGACGUUGAUAGGCCGGGUGUGUAAGCGCAGCGAUGCGUUGAGCUAACCGGUACUAAUGAACCGUGAGGCUUAACCUU